Molecule: long non-coding RNA, 663 nt
Organism: Balaenoptera acutorostrata (minke whale)
Lineage: Eukaryota; Metazoa; Chordata; Mammalia; Artiodactyla; Balaenopteridae
Exons: 3
Source: RefSeq, a predicted model, not a curated record
UUAGGACGACAGGCAGAAAUUGGAGUGAUGCAGCUAUAAGCCAAGGAAGCCAGGAGACAAGCAAGGAAGGAUUCUUCCCUAGAGCCUUCAGAGGAAUGGGCCUGCCGACAACCUUGAUUUUGGACUUCUUGCCUCCAGAACCGUUAAUAUUGGAUGUCAAUAGAGAAACUAAGAAGUUAAGUUCUGGAUUCAUCUCUACCUACAGCAUGUGAUGGUAAACACCUUGUGAUAAAGUUCUACAAAGCUGAUGCAAAGAAUCUCAGAAUCAUUAGAUCUGAGCUAACAGUAGUUGAGUUGUUAGUAAACUCUAAACAGAAUCAGAUGAAGAAUGUGUUGAGAGGUUGGUACCCUGGAUAGGGAGUGAAGAGAUCCAAGAAGUAGUCCUGGCUGAUGACCAUGUGACUGGGCACUUGCUAUGGAACAUACCGGACAUCCAGUGACUGCUGCCAGGUCCACAGCCAACUCACAGGACUUGAUCAAAUCCUCCAUCAUGGCCAAAGCUUGUCGUAGGUCGUCUGAGAAGGCUGAAUCCUUGGUCCUCUCUGGCCCAUUCUGCGGAAAGCAAAUGCCUUGCUGGAAAUCAAAAGGUAAACCAUCUACCAAGGGAAGGAGGGAAACAGGACAGAGAUAAGGAGCCACGGAUCCAGCCAGUAUGAAGUGACU